Long non-coding RNA from Alligator mississippiensis (American alligator), 404 nucleotides. RefSeq lists it as uncharacterized. The transcript is spliced from 2 exons. NCBI's taxonomy places the organism in Eukaryota, Metazoa, Chordata, Crocodylia, Alligatoridae. The record is from RefSeq and is a predicted model, not a curated record.
UGGCGCCAUGACUGGGCUCCAAGAUGGAUUGAUAACAGCACAAGGUCAGCUUCAAGCCGGCGUUUCAACUGUUGUUUGGUCCCGUGGACACUGCCAGGCACGCUGCCUCGUACAGGAAUGCUUUGAAGAUGCUGAGCAAAAGGGUAUAAAAGAAGAACGAAGCAGAUAACAGGGCACACUUGAAAAAUGAGAAAUCAUUCUGACAAGAACCGCUACUGCGCCCGGCUGAUCUUCUGGUGAACAGAUCCAUGCCUUGAGACGCUGACAAGACUGAGGUUGCCUCUUUGCCUGUAUGGGUGAGAUACUACCACUUUUACAGCUAAAUAUACUGGACUGUGCUUUGCUUUAGGUUCAUUAUUUGGGGAAUAGUUGUAGUAAAUAAAGCCUUUCCAUUGUUUAUCGAA